UGGUAUGUUGGACAGGCGCUCUGCUUCUCUUUAAAGAGCACGGAUUAUUCAUACCAUGCGACAUGAAUGAAAUGAGAAGUUUUCAAGGCUGGCAAUCUCCCAGGUAAGGGUUUGCAGUAGUUUACUUCUUCUACAAUA
RNAcentral lists this small nucleolar RNA (138 nucleotides) under Castor canadensis (American beaver). RNAcentral's name for it is "Small nucleolar RNA U109 (ENSCCNG00000000165.1)". It matches the Rfam family "Small nucleolar RNA U109". Lineage: Eukaryota; Metazoa; Chordata; Mammalia; Rodentia; Castoridae. The record is from Rfam by way of RNAcentral.